GCGAGAGCAGCUGUUGCCAGGCAACCGCGGCUGGCAAACGAGGUGUGGAGAAGUGAAGGAAGGAACAGAGGCGCAGUAUUUUGGGGGAGGAGACGAAGGACUGGGAAGGAGAAGGAGAGAGAAAUGGGAGGAACCAGCACGAGCACGUUUCUACAGAACCAGAGUGACCUGAACGGGGUAGUGAAACCAAGACUGCAGGCUACACACACCCUGCAAGUACUUCAGCGUUAAGCGUUAAUGAAGCAGUCCUGGAACUAUCAUCAGUUGUAAGGAUUACAGGUACUUG
Gasterosteus aculeatus aculeatus (three-spined stickleback) is the source of this 286-nucleotide long non-coding RNA. The record is from Ensembl. Lineage: Eukaryota; Metazoa; Chordata; Actinopteri; Perciformes; Gasterosteidae.